CAACAGGGAUUGCCUUAGUAACGGCGAGUGAAGCGGCAAAAGCUCAAAUUUGAAAUCUGGCGCCUUCGGUGUCCGAGUUGUAAUUUGAAGAAGGUAACUUUGGUGUUGGCUCUUGUCUAUGUUCCUUGGAACAGGACGUCACAGAGGGUGAGAAUCCCGUGCGAUGAGAUGUCCAAUGCUAUGUAAAGUGCUUUCGAAGAGUCGAGUUGUUUGGGAAUGCAGCUCUAAGUGGGUGGUAAAUUCCAUCUAAAGCUAAAUAUUGGCGAGAGACCGAUAGCGAACAAGUACAGUGAUGGAAAGAUGAAAAGAACUUUGAAAAGAGAGUGAAAAAGUACGUGAAAUUGUUGAAAGGGAAGGGCUUGAGAUCAGACUGGUAUUACAUAUGUUUUGCUUUCGGGUAGGGCCUCUAUGUGGUAUCGGGCCAGCAUCGGUUUGGAUGGUAGGAUAAUGACAUUGGAAUGUGACUCUGCUACGGUAGAGUGUUAUAGCCUUUGUUGAUGCUGCCUGUCUAGACCGAGGACUGCGUCUUUGACUAGGAUGUUGGCAUAAUGAUCUUAAGUCGCCCGUCUUGAAACA
Molecule: ribosomal RNA, 576 nt
Filed under: [Pichia] sp. 'dianae'
Lineage: Eukaryota; Fungi; Ascomycota; Saccharomycetes; Saccharomycodales; Saccharomycodaceae
Description: eukaryotic LSU rRNA
Rfam family: Eukaryotic large subunit ribosomal RNA
Source: RNAcentral